RNAcentral lists this long non-coding RNA (2267 nucleotides) under Zea mays. RNAcentral's name for it is "long non-coding RNA (ZMAY_LNC000319)". Lineage: Eukaryota; Viridiplantae; Streptophyta; Magnoliopsida; Poales; Poaceae. The record is from RNAcentral.
UAUCGAUCCCUAACCACGCCAUUGCCCGAGGUCACGUCGCGAGUCCAGCAGUGUUUGUGGGUCCUCUCGGAUUGUGUCAGUGCAAGCGGGCGUGCGCGGGGAUCGCCGGAGCGUUAGGAAUUUCUCACCGAAGCUCCGUCACCACCACCGUACCGCCCUUCGUCGAUAUCAGGUCUCUGCGCUCUCUGAUUCUUCGGUAAGAACUCCCCAUUGAGUUCGCAUCCGUCUUACCUACGCGUAGCCUCCUUGGGGUCGGCUUUGGACAGCUAUUGGCGGCAAGUGUGGGGGGGCUGGCCAUGUGCGCCGCCGGGUGCUGGUGCGCCGUCGGCCGGAAUUUGGGGAGAAGGAAGAAGGGCCUCUGGUCGUUGAUCUGAUGGUGGGCGGCCUGGAUUAGAAGGUAGCUUACCCCUUCGGUUAAAGAGAACCCGGACCGUAGAUCUGCAAUCCUAUGGAUACGAUUCGAUCUCGGUUAUUUUGGAUCCGAGCCGUAGAUAUAGGAUCCAGCGGCUAUUGUUGAAUACCGGUUCAGAUUUAUAACCCUCUAAUCUGGGCCGUGUGGUUUAGAUCUGACGGUCACAAUUCAACAAUACCCCUUCGCGAGCACAUUUGUCAUAUGAGCCCUUGGGAAACAGGGAAAAUAACCCGCGGUCCAAUCUAGAGCUGUCUGAGUCUUAGGAAUUCUUCUGUAUUAACCCCUGACCUUUUAUGACAUUGAGGCCCAAUCCAUAGUAUUGUAAAAUCAGAGAAAUUAAUUUAUAAAUGGAUUUUUAAUAGAUAAAUAAAUGCUAGAACUUGUUUAAAUCAUAGAAAAUCCAUUUUUAGUCUAAAUUACUCCAUUCCAGUUUCUAAAUUUUUGUAAUAUUAUUAUCUAUCACUUAGAGCCUAUGUGUUGGCAUGAAAACAGUAAGAAAAUUUAUUUCCACUUAAUCCUAUUUUAAACACAUAAAAUCUUUGGAAAUUCAUAACUUAAAAUCUAUAACUCCAAAAAUUAUGAUUCCUGUUCCUAGAAUUUUAUUUUAAUGUGUAGAUUAUUAUCAUGUACUUUGUUUACAUGUUUGGUGUGAUGUUAAUUUUCUUUAUACAUUGUGCUUGUUUGUAUUGUGGCGAGUAGAAGAGCCUAUGACUGUGGAUCCUAGUGACCAGAAGAUAGAAGUAGCUGAGCAGGAGCUCAUUGAAGGCAAGUUGUGCCCUUGAUCCACUUUUGUUACCCAAUAAUAUUCUUUAUUAUCACUAUUCAAUGUAUAGGUUUAAUUUUGAUGGGACCCAAUAGGUCAUCCUAGUCUGUUUAUCCAUGUUACCUUGUUUACCCCUGAAUCACUUGGGUAGUUUUGUUAUUGCUUUACAUGGUUUUGGGAUAAUAUUUUGUUAUAUCCAUGUUCCAAUUAUUUUGUUAUUCUAUUUAUGGUCAUGUCAAGAUCAUUAAAUGUUAAUUGGAACAUGGAGCUUAACUUGAGAAACACGUGCCACCACAAGGGUUUAAUGGGACGCCCUUGGCCAACUAACUAGGAAAGCUAGUGGAAGCCUACCUUACCCGAAAGGGGCAAGGGCAGUAGAGGAUUGCAUGCAAGGAGGUUCUUGGGUUGAUUUUGCUGCGAUGGCGGUCAGACGGGGAUUCUUGCAAGUGCUCUUCCCAUAAACUGUAGCGGGUUUUCGGAAGCUAGUGGAGCUUUGUAAAGGCCUCGUAGUGGAUCCUUAGCCAUUCACCUUGGUAGUGUCUAAGGGUCUAGCUAACCCUGGCGACAUGGGAUACACGACUUGUGGGUAAAGGGUACAACCUCUGCAGAGUGUAAAACUAGUAUACUAGUCGUGCUCGCGGUCAUGAGCAGCUCAGGACUCUCUGAUGAUUAAUUUAUGGAACUUAAAUUCAAUUUGUCAUUUGCAUUGCAUGAGAUUAUUAUUAAUUUUUUUCUAUUAUUUUUAUUACGGUUUGGUAUUUACUUACAUCUAGUAAUUGCUAAUAAAAUUUUGACCAACUUAAUAAAAGCAAUGCUCAACUUUAACCUCUAUUGUUGAUCAGCCUUACACUUCAUGAACUUCCACCUUUGGUGAGUUCAUGCCACAUUAUUCCCCACAACUUGUUGAGCGAUGAACAUGUGUGAGCUCACCAUUGCUGUCUCACACCCCCCACAGGAGAAGAACAAGUGGUUCAAGUGGAGCCAAGUAUCGAGGAGUUCGAUUCGAUCUAGGUGGCGUUUCCCUAGUUGACUUUGCGCCAUGGAUGAUCCUUAGUUCGUGUUAUAUUUAUCUUUUAUUUUGUAAGACUUCCG